UCUGACUCAUGAAACCCAAAAUACUUGCUGC
RNAcentral lists this non-coding RNA (31 nucleotides) under Rattus norvegicus (Norway rat). Lineage: Eukaryota; Metazoa; Chordata; Mammalia; Rodentia; Muridae. The record is from RNAcentral.